GAGCACGAUCUUCAUCUCUAUGAGUUUGCCAUAUCAAAUCUCCAUAAAGAGACAAAGCAUUUCCAUCAUUUGGCUUUGCCAAGAUCGCUCUCUCACAGUACUCUUCGGCUUUAACUGCAUCUCCUUUCACCUCCUUCAGAAACCUCGCGUAAUUGCUUAAGAUUAGAGCAUCGCCAGGAUAAGCUUCGAUCAUCUUCUGAUAAUACUCAUCUACACUUCCACUCCCACGACCUGAAUCUCCACAGCUGUCACCGAACCAAUUUUCACCGCCGCCACUUCCGCUUC
This 285-nucleotide unclassified non-coding RNA is filed under the name Hevea brasiliensis (rubber tree). The record is from RNAcentral. Lineage: Eukaryota; Viridiplantae; Streptophyta; Magnoliopsida; Malpighiales; Euphorbiaceae.